GAACGCUGGCGGUAGGCCUAACACAUGCAAGUCGAACGGCAGCACAGGAGAGCUUGCUCUCUGGGUGGCGAGUGGCGGACGGGUGAGGAAUACAUCGGAAUCUACUUUUUCGUGGGGGAUAACGUAGGGAAACUUACGCUAAUACCGCAUACGACCUACGGGUGAAAGCAGGGGAUCUUCGGACCUUGCGCGAUUGAAUGAGCCGAUGUCGGAUUAGCUAGUUGGCGGGGUAAAGGCCCACCAAGGCGACGAUCCGUAGCUGGUCUGAGAGGAUGAUCAGCCACACUGGAACUGAGACACGGUCCAGACUCCUACGGGAGGCAGCAGUGGGGAAUAUUGGACAAUGGGCGCAAGCCUGAUCCAGCCAUACCGCGUGGGUGAAGAAGGCCUUCGGGUUGUAAAGCCCUUUUGUUGGGAAAGAAAUCCAGCUGGCUAAUCCCGGUUGGGAUGACGGUACCCAAAGAAUAAGCACCGGCUAC
This 479-nucleotide ribosomal RNA is filed under the name Stenotrophomonas maltophilia. Its description in RNAcentral is "bacterial SSU rRNA". It matches the Rfam family "Bacterial small subunit ribosomal RNA", at positions 31 to 500 of the family's 1533-position model. Lineage: Bacteria; Pseudomonadati; Pseudomonadota; Gammaproteobacteria; Lysobacterales; Lysobacteraceae. The record is from RNAcentral.